GACGAACGCUGGCGGCGUGCCUAAUACAUGCAAGUAGAACGCUGAAGAGAGGAGCUUGCUCUUCUUGGAUGAGUUGCGAACGGGUGAGUAACGCGUAGGUAACCUGCCUUGUAGCGGGGGGUAACUAUUGGAAACGAUAGCUAAUACCGCAUCACAAUGGAUGCCACAUGUCAUUUAUUUGAAAGGGGCAAUUGCUCCACUACAAGAUGGACCUGCGUUGUAUUAGCUAGUAGGUGAGGUAAUGGCUCACCUAGGCGACGAUACAUAGCCGACCUGAGAGGGUGAUCGGCCACACUGGGACUGAGACACGGCCCAGACUCCUACGGGAGGCAGCAGUAGGGAAUCUUCGGCAAUGGGGGCAACCCUGACCGAGCAACGCCGCGAGAGUGAAGAAGGUUUUCGGAUCGUAAAGCUCUGUUGUAAGUCAAGAACGGGUGUGAGAGUGGAAAGUUCGCACUGUGACGGUAGCUUACCAGAAAGGGACGGCUAACUACGUG
Molecule: ribosomal RNA, 497 nt
Filed under: uncultured bacterium
Lineage: Bacteria
Description: partial 16S ribosomal RNA
Rfam family: Bacterial small subunit ribosomal RNA
Source: RNAcentral